GAGUUUGAUCUUGGCUCAGAUUGAACGCUAGCGGGAUGCCUUACACAUGCAAGUCGAACGGCAGCACGGACUUCGGUCUGGUGGCGAGUGGCGAGCGGGUGAGUAAUGUAUCGGAACGUGCCUAGUAGCGGGGGGAUAACUACGCGAAAGCGUAGCUAAUACCGCAUACGCCCUACGGGGGAAAGCAGGGGAUCGCAAGACCUUGCACUAUUAGAGCGGCCGAUAUCGGAUUAGCUAGUUGGUGGGGUAACGGCUCACCAAGGCGACGAUCCGUAGCUGGUUUGAGAGGACGACCAGCCACACUGGGACUGAGACACGGCCCAGACUCCUACGGGAGGCAGCAGUGGGGAAUUUUGGACAAUGGGGGAAACCCUGAUCCAGCCAUCCCGCGUGUGCGAUGAAGGCC
This 406-nucleotide ribosomal RNA is filed under the name uncultured microorganism. RNAcentral describes it as "bacterial SSU rRNA". It matches the Rfam family "Bacterial small subunit ribosomal RNA", at positions 9 to 416 of the family's 1533-position model. The record is from RNAcentral.